CCCCUGGUGGUCUAGUGGUUAGGAUGCGGAGCUCUCACCUCCGCGGCCCGGGUUCGAUUCCCGGUCAGGGGA
RNAcentral lists this transfer RNA (72 nucleotides) under Manacus vitellinus (golden-collared manakin). It matches the Rfam family "tRNA". Rfam says of the family: Transfer RNA (tRNA) molecules are approximately 80 nucleotides in length. Their secondary structure includes four short double-helical elements and three loops (D, anti-codon, and T loops). Further hydrogen bonds mediate the characteristic L-shaped molecular structure. tRNAs have two regions of fundamental functional importance: the anti-codon, which is responsible for specific mRNA codon recognition, and the 3' end, to which the tRNAs corresponding amino acid is attached (by aminoacyl-tRNA synthetases). tRNAs cope with the degeneracy of the genetic code in two manners: having more than one tRNA (with a specific anti-codon) for a particular amino acid; and 'wobble' base-pairing, i.e. permitting non-standard base-pairing at the 3rd anti-codon position. Lineage: Eukaryota; Metazoa; Chordata; Aves; Passeriformes; Pipridae. The record is from Rfam by way of RNAcentral.